AAGGACCCCGGGAGGGGAGUGAAAGAGAACCUGAAACCUUGUGCUUACAAGCACUCAAAGCCCGUUAAAGGGUGAUGAGGUACCUUUUGUAGAAUGGUCCGGCGAGUUAUUGUUACUGGCAAGCUUAAGGCAUUCAGUGCCGGAGGCGCAGGGAGACCGAGUCUGAAUAGGGCGUAUGAAGUCAGUGGCAAUAGACCCGAAACCGGGUGACCUAUCCAUGGGCAGGUUGAAGUGGGGGUAAAACCCCAUGGAGGACCGAACGCACGCCCGUUGCAAUGGUCGGCGAUGACCUGUGGAUAGCGGUGAAAUUCCAAUCGAACUCGGAGAUAGCUGGUUCUCCCCGAAAUAGCUUUAGGGCUAGCGUUGGCUUAGAUUACCGGAGGUAAAGCACUGAAUGGGCUAGGGGCCGAUAAGGUUACUGAACCCUAUCAAACUCUGAAUGCCGGAUAAUUGAUGGCCAGCAGUCAGUCUACGUGAGAUAAGUCUCGUGGACAAAAGGGAAACAGCCCAGACCCACAGCUAAGGUCCCAAAGAUACGCUAAGUGGAAAACGAUGUGGAGUUGCGAAAACAACCAGGAUGUUGGCUUAGAAGCAGCCACUCAUUAAAAGAGUGCGUAAUAGCUCACUGGUCGAGUGACUCUGCGCGGAAAAUAUAACGGGGCUAAGCGUAACACCGAAGCUUGGGCUGCACAGCAAUGUGCGGGGUAGGGGAGCGUCGAAUAUGGGGUGAAGUCGCAGCGGAAGCAGCGGUGGACUGUAUUCGAGUGAGAAUGCCGGAAUGAGUAGCGAGAAUUAUGUGGGAAUCAUAAUGGCCGAAAAUCUAAGGUUUCCUGGGGAAGGUUCGUCCGCCCAGGGUAAGCCGGGAGCUAAGGCGAGGCCGGAAGGCGUAGUCGAUGCACAUACGGUUGAAAUUCCGUAGCCACCGAACCUUAAGUACACUGACACAUGGAGAUAGCGGGACCCGGGCGUUGGUUGACCCGGGCGUAAGGGACCGAACUUUAGUAGGGAAGUCCGCGAUGCUCUGUGGCGAGAAAAGGUGUAUGGUAUGCUAAGGUGCCCGUACCGCAAACCGACACAGGUAGAUGAGGAGAGAAUCCUAAGGCCAACGGGAGAAGGGUUGUUAAGGAACUCGGCAAAAUGACCCCGUAACUUCGGGAUAAGGGGAGCCUCCUACGGGAGGCCGCAGCGAAUAGGCCCAAGCGACUGUUUACCAAAAACACAGGUCUCUGCUAAAUCGAAAGAUGACGUAUAGGGGCUGACGCCUGCCCGGUGCUGGAAGGUUAAGAGGAGAUGUUAGCCGCAAGGCGAAGCAUUGAAUCGAAGCCCCAGUAAACGGCGGCCGUAACUAUAACGGUCCUAAGGUAGCGAAAUUCCUUGUCAGGUAAGUUCUGACCCGCACGAAUGGCGUAACGACUUGGGCGCUGUCUCAACAGCCCACCCGGCGAAAUUGUUGUACUGGUGAAGAAGCCAGUUACCCGCAACUAGACGGAAAGACCCCAUGGAGCUUUACUGUAGCUUAAUACUGGAAAUCGGUAAAUCAUGUACAGGAUAGGUGGGAGACUUGGAAGCCAGGGCGUCAGCUUUGGUGGAGUCACCCUUGGGAUACCACCCUUGAUUUGCUGGUUUUCUAACCUGCGGCCGUGAAUCCGGUCGGGGGACACUGUUAGGUGGGCAGUUUGACUGGGGCGGUCGCCUCCUAAAAGGUAACGGAGGCGCUCAAAGGUUCGUUCAGCACGGACGGAAACCGUGCAGUGAGUGUAAACGCAUAAACGAGCCUAACUGCGAGACCGACGGGUCGAGCAGUAACGAAAGUUGGAGUUAGUGAUCCGGCGGUAUGCAAGUGGAAGUGCCGUCGCUCAACGGAUAAAAGCUACCCUGGGGAUAACAGGCUGAUCUCCCCCAAGAGUCCACAUCGACGGGGAGGUUUGGCACCUCGAUGUCGGCUCAUCACAUCCUGGGGCUGUAUUCGGUCCCAAGGGUUCGGCUGUUCGCCGAUUAAAGUGGCACGCGAGCUGGGUUCAGAACGUCGUGAGACAGUUCGGUCCCUAUCUGUUGCGGGCGUAAGAGAUUUGAAGGGAGCUGUCCUUAGUACGAGAGGACCGGGAUGGACGUACCUCUGGUGCACCAGUUGUCCUGCCAAGGGCAUAGCUGGGUAGCUAUGUACGGACGAGAUAAACGCUGAAGGCAUCUAAGCGUGAAACUCCCCCUAAGAUUAGAUCUCUCAUUCGAAAGAAGUAAGGCACGACGUAGACUAUGUCGUUGA
RNAcentral lists this ribosomal RNA (2263 nucleotides) under human gut metagenome. Its description in RNAcentral is "bacterial LSU rRNA". It matches the Rfam family "Bacterial large subunit ribosomal RNA", at positions 519 to 2856 of the family's 2925-position model. The record is from RNAcentral.